GCUUACCUACGGGGCGCAGCAGUGGGGAAUAUUGCACAAUGGGGGAAACCCUGAUGCAGCGACGCCGCGUGAGUGAAGAAGUAUUUCGGUAUGUAAAGCUCUAUCAGCAGGGAAGAAAAAAAGUCCUUUGGACUUUGGACGGUACCUGACUAAGAAGCCCCGGCUAACUACGUGCCAGCAGCCGCGGUAAUACGUAGGGGGCAAGCGUUAUCCGGAUUUACUGGGUGUAAAGGGAGCGUAGACGGCAGCGCAAGUCUGAAGUGAAAUCCCAUG
RNAcentral lists this ribosomal RNA (273 nucleotides) under uncultured bacterium. RNAcentral describes it as "partial 16S ribosomal RNA". It matches the Rfam family "Bacterial small subunit ribosomal RNA", at positions 333 to 606 of the family's 1533-position model. The record is from RNAcentral.